AUUUGAAUUAAAGCGAGAAAAUGACCAUUAAUUCUGAGGUGAUCUCAAAUCCUGGACAAUACGUACGAAAACGUCAUUAUUAUUAUUAGGUAGACAAGCUAAGACGGCAAGGAUUAAGAUAAGCGUUAAGGUUACGGUUAUAAUAUAUUGAUGUACAAUAGACUAGAUUUGAAGGGCGUUUUAGUGGAAUUGCCAGGUGUAACUUAGGUUAAGU
Molecule: non-coding RNA, 214 nt
Organism: Paramuricea clavata
Lineage: Eukaryota; Metazoa; Cnidaria; Anthozoa; Malacalcyonacea; Plexauridae
Source: the annotation of a GenBank genome assembly